This 319-nucleotide ribosomal RNA is filed under the name uncultured eukaryote. RNAcentral describes it as "partial 18S ribosomal RNA". It matches the Rfam family "Eukaryotic small subunit ribosomal RNA", at positions 1470 to 1796 of the family's 1831-position model. The record is from RNAcentral.
CCCUUAGAUGUUCUGGGCCGCACGCGUGCUACACUGAGUGGAUCAGCGGGUCAGGUUGCGCGAAAGCGUUUCCUAAUCUUUAAAUCCGCUCGUGAUGGGGAUUGACGGUUGCAAUUUUCUGUCAUGAACGAGGAAUACCUUGUAAGCGCGGGUCAUCAUCCCGCGCUGAAUACGUCCCUGCCCUUUGUACACACCGCCCGUCGCUCCUACCGAUUGAAUGCUCAGGUGAGCCAUUCGGACUUUCAUCAUGCCGGUUUCCGGUUUUGAUGAGGGAAAGUCUUGCGAACCUUAUCAUUUAGAGGAAGGAGAAGUCGUAACA